UGGGGAAUAUUGCACAAUGGGCGGAAGCCUGAUGCAGCGACGCCGCGUGGGGGAUGAAGGCCUUCGGGUUGUAAACUCCUUUCGACAGGGACGAAGCUUUUGUGACGGUACCUGUAUAAGAAGCACCGGCUAACUACGUGCCAGCAGCCGCGGUAAUACGUAGGGUGCGAGCGUUGUCCGGAAUUACUGGGCGUAAAGAGCUCGUAGGUGGUUUGUCGCGUCGUCUGUGAAAUUCCGGGGCUUAACUCCGGGCGUGCAGGCGAUACGGGCUGACUUGAGUGCUGUAGGGGAGAUUGGAAUUCCUGGUGUAGCGGUGAAAUGCGCAGAUAUCAGGAGGAACACCGAUGGCGAAGGCAGGUCUCUGGGCAGUAACUGACGCUGAGGAGCGAAAGCAUGGGUAGCGAACAGGAUUAGAUACCCUGGUAGUCCAUGCCGUAAACGGUGGGCGCUAGGUGUAGGGGGCUUCCACGUCUUCUGUGCCGUAGCUAACGCAUUAAGCGCCCCGCCUGGGGAGUACGGCCGCAAGGCUA
RNAcentral lists this ribosomal RNA (530 nucleotides) under uncultured bacterium. RNAcentral's name for it is "bacterial SSU rRNA". It matches the Rfam family "Bacterial small subunit ribosomal RNA", at positions 355 to 896 of the family's 1533-position model. The record is from RNAcentral.